UGAGGAAUAUUGGUCAAUGGGCGAUGGCCUGAACCAGCCAAGUAGCGUGAAGGAUGACUGCCCUAUGGGUUGUAAACUUCUUUUAUAAAGGAAUAAAGUCGGGUAUGCAUACCCGUUUGCAUGUACUUUAUGAAUAAGGAUCGGCUAACUCCGUGCCAGCAGCCGCGGUAAUACGGAGGAUCCGAGCGUUAUCCGGAUUUAUUGGGUUUAAAGGGAGCGUAGAUGGAUGUUUAAGUCAGUUGUGAAAGUUUGCGGCUCAACCGUAAAAUUGCAGUUGAUACUGGAUAUCUUGAGUGCAGUUGAGGCAGGCGGAAUUCGUGGUGUAGCGGUGAAAUGCUUAGAUAUCACGAAGAACUCCGAUUGCGAAGGCAGCCUGCUAAGCUGCAACUGACAUUGAGGCUCGAAAGUGUGGGUAUCAAACAGGAUUAGAUACCCUGGUAGUCCACACGGUAAACGAUGAAUACUCGCUGUUUGCGAUAUACUGCAAGCGGCCAAGCGAAAGCGUUAAGUAUUCCACCUGGGGAGUACGCCGGCAACGGUGAAACUCAAAGGAAUUGACGGGGGCCCGCACAAGCGGAGGAACAUGUGGUUUAAUUCGAUGAUACGCGAGGAACCUUACCCGGGCUUAAAUUGCAGAUGAAUUACGGUGAAAGCCGUAAGCCGCAAGGCAUCUGUGAAGGUGCUGCAUGGUUGUCGUCAGCUCGUGCCGUGAGGUGUCGGCUUAAGUGCCAUAACGAGCGCAACCCUUGUUGUCAGUUACUAACAGGUUCCGCUGAGGACUCUGACAAGACUGCCAUCGUAAGAUGUGAGGAAGGUGGGGAUGACGUCAAAUCAGCACGGCCCUUACGUCCGGGGCUACACACGUGUUACAAUGGGGGGUACAGAGGGCCGCUACCACGCGAGUGGAUGCCAAUCCCCAAAACCUCUCUCAGUUCGGACUGGAGUCUGCAACCCGACUCCACGAAGCUGGAUUCGCUAGUAAUCGCGCAUCAGCCACGGCGCGGUGAAUACGUUCCC
This 1017-nucleotide ribosomal RNA is filed under the name uncultured bacterium. Its description in RNAcentral is "bacterial SSU rRNA". It matches the Rfam family "Bacterial small subunit ribosomal RNA", at positions 355 to 1375 of the family's 1533-position model. The record is from RNAcentral.